UGCCAGCCGCCGCGGUAAUACGGAGGGUGCAAGCGUUAUCCGGAAUCACUGGGUUUAAAGGGUGCGUAGGUGGCUCAAUCAGUCAGAGGUGAAAUCUUGCGGCUUAACCGUAAAAUUGCCUUUGAUACUGUUGGGCUUGAAUUAGGUUGAGGUUGGCGGAAUGUGGCAUGUAGCGGUGAAAUGCAUAGAUAUGCCAUAGAACACCAAUUGCGAAGGCAGCUGACUAGACCUUAAUUGACACUGAGGCACGAAAGCGUGGGGAGCGAACAGGAUUAGAUA
Molecule: ribosomal RNA, 279 nt
Filed under: uncultured bacterium
Lineage: Bacteria
Description: partial 16S ribosomal RNA
Rfam family: Bacterial small subunit ribosomal RNA
Source: RNAcentral